Molecule: ribosomal RNA, 485 nt
Filed under: uncultured bacterium
Lineage: Bacteria
Description: bacterial SSU rRNA
Rfam family: Bacterial small subunit ribosomal RNA
Source: RNAcentral
UCCCACGACUACGCUAUCACUCCUACGGGAGGCAGCAGUGGGGAAUAUUGCACAAUGGGGGAAACCCUGAUGCAGCCAUGCCGCGUGUGUGAAGAAGGCCUUCGGGUUGUAAAGCACUUUCAGUAGGGAGGAAGGUAGUGUAGUUAACACCUGCAUUAUUUGACGUUACCUACAGAAGAAGCACCGGCUAACUCCGUGCCAGCAGCCGCGGUAAUACGGAGGGUGCGAGCGUUAAUCGGAAUUACUGGGCGUAAAGCGCAUGCAGGCGGCCUGUUAAGUCAGAUGUGAAAGCCCGGGGCUUAACCUCGGAAUUGCAUUUUGAAACUGGCAGGCUAGAGUCUUGUAGAGGGGGUAGAAUUUCAGGUGUAGCGGUGAAAUGCGUAGAGAUCUGAAGGAAUACCAGUGGCGAAGGCGGCCCCCCUGGACAGAUACUGACACUCAGAUGCGAAAGCGUGGGGAGCAAACAGGAUUAGAUACCCUGGUAG